AGUGAACGCUGGCGGUAGGCCUAACACAUGCAAGUCGAACGGCAGCACAGUAAGAGCUUGCUCUUACGGGUGGCGAGUGGCGGACGGGUGAGGAAUACAUCGUAAUCUACUUUUUCGUGGGGGAUAACGUAGGGAAACUUACUCUAAUACCGCAUACGACCUACGGGGGAAAGCAUGGGAUCUUCUGACCUUGCGCGGUUGAAUGAGCCGAUGUCGGAUUAGCUAGUUGGCGGGGUAAAGGCCCACCAAGGCGACGAUCCGUAGCUGGUCUGAGAGGAUGAUCAGCCACACUGGAACUGAGACACGGUCCAGACUCCUACGGGAGGCAGCAGUGGGGAAUAUUGGACAAUGGGCGCAAGCAUGAUCCAGCCAUACCGAGUGGGUGAAGAAGGCCUUCGGGUUGUAAAGCCCUUCUGUUGGGAAAGAAAAGCAGCAGGUUAAUACCCCGCUGUUCUGACGGUACCCAAAGAAUAAGCACCGGCUAACUUCGUG
This 492-nucleotide ribosomal RNA is filed under the name uncultured bacterium. RNAcentral describes it as "partial 16S ribosomal RNA". It matches the Rfam family "Bacterial small subunit ribosomal RNA", at positions 29 to 507 of the family's 1533-position model. The record is from RNAcentral.